AUGGUGCCACAACCCUUUUUUUUUGUUUUUAUUUUUGUUGCACAUGAUUUCAAAUCAAAUGGUGUUUUUAACAUGCUAUUUCUAAGCUCUGCUUGUGACUGGGUCUCCCCUUUAUACAUACAAAUCUUGUGCUGUUUUUCUCCUCUCUCUUUCUCCUUCUCCUCUUCUCCCCAGGUUUUUGUCUUUCUGCCGAUGUUUACUUCAGUCCUUCUUUCACAAAAUCGAAUACUCCAGGUUUUGCUUAACCUCAGAUGACUGGUACAUGGAGAAAGCAAAUUUUGGGCUAACUAAGAUGUGGUAAACCCAGACUUGGCCCAGUCACCGAAAGUGUAACUGAAUGAUCUUUAUUUUAAGUGUUCAAAUGAAGAGGAAAGAGCACCUUGCUUAUCUAUAUAUAGAUAAGAUUUCAAAGAGAGGAUACCUUUAAACAGACAUUCCUUCAAAUAAUGAAUUGUUCUCUGUAUGGCUGGAUAACCAUGGAUGAACAAACCAAGCCGAGAAUUGUCUGUGAUACUUUUGCACAGACAGUUCUUGGCUUGGUUUGUUCAUCCAUGGUUACCCAGCCAUACAGAGAACAAUUCUUUAUUUGAAAGGAAUGUCGGAGGCUAUUCCUCUGUUUAAAGG
Molecule: long non-coding RNA, 624 nt
Filed under: Pogona vitticeps (central bearded dragon)
Lineage: Eukaryota; Metazoa; Chordata; Lepidosauria; Squamata; Agamidae
Description: lncRNA (ENSPVIG00000001873.1)
Source: RNAcentral